RNAcentral lists this ribosomal RNA (480 nucleotides) under uncultured bacterium. RNAcentral's name for it is "bacterial SSU rRNA". It matches the Rfam family "Bacterial small subunit ribosomal RNA", at positions 28 to 526 of the family's 1533-position model. The record is from RNAcentral.
GACGAACGCUGGCGGCGUGCUUAACACAUGCAAGUCGAACGGUGAACCCUUCGGGGGGAUCAGUGGCGAACGGGUGAGUAACACGUGAGCAACCUGCCCUUGGCUCUGGGACAACCACUGGAAACGGUGGCUAAUACUGGAUACGACCCUCGCAGGCAUCUGUUGGGGGUGGAAAGAUCUUUCGGCCAGGGAUGGGCUCGCGGCCUAUCAGCUUGUUGGUGGGGUGAUGGCCUACCAAGGCGACGACGGGUAGCCGGCCUGAGAGGGCGACCGGCCACACUGGGACUGAGACACGGCCCAGACUCCUACGGGAGGCAGCAGUGGGGAAUAUUGCACAAUGGGCGCAAGCCUGAUGCAGCGACGCCGCGUGAGGGAUGACGGCCUUCGGGUUGUAAACCUCUUUCAGCUCCGAAGAAGCGAAAGUGACGGUAGGAGCAGAAGAAGCACCGGCUAACUACGUGCCAGCCGCCGCCGUAACAC